CUGGUCGGUGCCGAUGACAGGCUCUCAGAAGCAGCCUCCAGGCGGGCACUCCUGGGCCAGGCAGCGUGGCAGGCCGCUGCAGUUGGUAUCCAGCUGCCAGGGGAGGGAUGAGUGAGUCUGGCUGGGGCAGGGCCACUGGGGGACCCAGAGUGGCAGAAGGCCCUUGCCGGGGGCUGGUGGAGAGAGCUGGGGGCCGCACUUGGCCCCCCCAAGGGAGGGCCAGCACGUGUUGGAUUGUACAAACAGGACUCGCCCCUUGGGGUUAGAGGCACUGUCUUUUGUUGACCUACUGAGCUCCAGGCGCAGGGCUGAGUACUUUAAUCCACUUUUGUUAAAGUGUCCAUUCCUAAAUUAAAUCUGCCCAGUGCCACUUCAUUUCAACAUCCAGUCGGAGCCAGCAUGUGCCAGCGCUUGUCCGGCGCUGGAAUACGGUGCAGACGGGAUGACCAUGGAUGGUCCCUGCCCGCGUGGACGGUGGAUGUUAAGUUUUCUGUGUAAGGAAACCUCAGCUCAGAGAGGCCAGAAUGUCCAUGAUCAUGGAUGCGCUACAGGGAGUUUAUCGCUCAGAUACCAGGAAUAAAAACCUUUGGGAGAUGGGGUAAAAACUAAAACAGGCAAAGCCAUUUUGCAGCCAUUGGUGUUCUCAAAAUGGCCCUUUCUGCUCUGUGCCAGACCCAGACCCUUCCACUGUGCUGGGAGCCUGCAGUGUAGAUGAGGGCCUGGGGUUUUUCACGGGUUCUUCACGAUGGCGUCCACUGCAGAUGCCAUUCUGCAUCUGAUGGGUGCUGACCUCUGUCUCGUGGAAACGCUCACACCUUAUCUUAGGGGUCCAAGGAUCAGCUGGGAGCCGGGGAUCACUGGCACCUGCUGCGGUCUGCUCCAUGGCUGGGGUCACAGGGUGAGGGGGGCUCCUGCAGAUCGGGGCAGAACAGAGGGGCCAGGGUGCAUGUACAGGCCAGGAUGAGCCAGUGAAGCCAGCUCUCUGUGGGCAAACGGACCGUGUCGGGUCCGGACAGCCCUGUGCCGCCCGCCUGUGUGGCCUCUGCUAAGGUGCCCACGCCCCUGAUUCCCGGGCCCCAUGUGUCUUGGGGUUGCUCACUCCUCUCUUGAUUCCCCAGGACAUCUCUCAGGAAGGGCAGGGAGCCUGCUGCCAGCUGGCCCUGGCUCAGGGUACAAGAGAAGCCCAGCUGCACUGUCAGUGACUGGAUGGAGCGGUGCUGGUGAGCUCAGGGUCCUUGCUGGAGGGCCGGAGCCACCAUGUGGCGUCCAUCUCCUGCUCACAGGCAGAGCGGCCUCACUCAGCAAACAUGGGCUCCGUCAGAGAGGCCCAGACCCAGGCUCAGAAGGUGUUGGCAGGGCCUGGGUCCAGCUGGGUGAGGACCAAAGGUUAGCCUGGAGCACCCAGUGCUGGGCUGAGGGCCCAAGGAAUCUGGGGAGCCUCCCGGAGGUGGCAGAACCCCAGCCCCAGGCUUGUUACCGCAUCCAGCCCCGGCCUGCCACGUCCCAGGGCCCUGCUGCCAGGCACAGUGCCGCCCCUCCUGCCCCCACGCCAGCCCUGCACAGGCCACAUCUGCUGCUGCAGCCCCGCCAGAGCUCCGCCUCCCCAGCUCUGUCCCCAUGGAAACCGGGGUGGGAGGGGGCGGGGUGGGGGGGAGGCCCUCCUGCUGCAUUUGGCCCGCUGACUGGUUUCCAUUAGAGCCAGCCUGCUUUCCUUGAGCCCUACCCCUAAUUCAAGGCUUCCCCCCAUGGGUUUCUUCCCGCAUUUACUGAGCACCAGCCUUCUGUGCCAGGGGGCCCUGCUGUCGGCCACCCGCCCGGAUGACACCCACGGUGGAGUGAGUGCCCGAGGGCCCGCAUUUCCCUGGCCGUGGCUGCUCGCAGUCUUGGCAGGCUGCAGGCUCAGACCCCGUCCUUUCUCACCCACAUCAGCAGCUGCCGAGGACUGAGCCCUGGACUUGGGUGCUUGGCCCCCUGCUCCUAUCCUGGACGGGGGCCUUGAGUAAGCCCCUUCCUGUCUCCGGGCCUCAGUUUACCUAUCUGUAAAAUGAGAGGGUAAAACUGUUUCUCCAGUUCCUUGCGAUGCCAAACAAGAAAAAGAAACAAAGAGAACAGGAAGCUGCAACGAAGCCAGCUCUUCAGAGUCCCAGUUCUGGGACUUUUGUUUGUUUUCAAAGAGGGAUUUUUUUUUUUUUUUUUUUUAACGAGAAGAAGUCAUGGAAUUUGACCAGAGACGGUGGUUUGAGAGGCCGAGAGCCCGUCGAAGCUUGUGCACCCCGGGCAUGGGAAGGCCCUGCCCCUGGCUGUGGGUGCCCGGAGGCCUGGGCAGCUGUGCCCGCCAAGCUCCACUCGGCAUCUGUCGGGUGCCCGGCUGUGAACGCGGUGGGUGGAGGUGAACCGUGCCCGCGAUGGGAUACAGAGGGCUCUGGAAAACUACCCGCGAGGUUUCCGGAGGGCUACCAUCCAGCUCCUGGCUGACGCCCGGUCUCCCGUCUGUGAUAGACUCAGGAGGCUUGUGUUGCCCGCAACCCAUGGCACCAUCCCCCAUCUCUCCAGGCUGUUGCACAACAUCACCUCCUCCUGGAAGCCCUCCCUACUGCCCACCUGCCCACUGCCCUGCAGGACUGUGACCCGAGCUUGGAUGAUCGGUUCGUGCCCGUGUCUGCUGAGGAAAACUGAGUGCCUCCGGAAGGACAGGCCAGAAUCACCAGCCUGACACUGGGCAGGCUCUUGGGUAAUGUUUCAUGAAUGAACGAAACAGAAUCCAGAGACUGAAAUGGAAGAAGAGAGGGCCGUGGACCAACCAUGCGUAGCGCUGUGGCCCAGCCACCAAGCCUGCCACAUCUCCUGGGGAGUCGGGAUGCUCAGAGAAGUAAAUGGACAAGAGUUUAUUUUUCUACCUCCA
Molecule: long non-coding RNA, 2902 nt
Organism: Manis pentadactyla (Chinese pangolin)
Lineage: Eukaryota; Metazoa; Chordata; Mammalia; Pholidota; Manidae
Exons: 2
Source: RefSeq, a predicted model, not a curated record